AAAAAUCUGUCUUUUAAAUGAAUAAGUGCUUUCUUCCUGGCUAAAACAAACUCCAUGUAAUCACUAUCUUCUAUCUUUUUCUUCUUUAGGAAAUGGGAUGUUUGAUUCCUGCUCUAUCUAUAAUUUACUUUAGUUUUCCUAGGUUUGGAUGAAAUUCUGUGUGUAGCCAUGAAGAAUCUAAGUCGUUGUCGUUGAGAGUGACAUUGAACGGUCAUUGUUUAGUGCUAUAGUUUUGUCUUUUCUCAACCAAGAGGAUGUGGGUUUGAGUAUGAGAAACAGUUAUUUCACGCAAAUUGUUGGGGAUCCAACUAUGCUAUGACUGGCUGCAUUGAAUAUCAUUGAAAAAGAUUUCUUUUAUACAAUAUAACAUUUAUAUUCUUCUAAAAUAAAUAAGGAAUCGCAAAAUCCUGUAAGAUAUUUAUCGCAUUUAGUUUUUAUAUAGUUUCUUUGUGAUUGCCUAAAUUACCUACUAUAUGUGUAUCUUCUUGUUGAUUAAAGGACUUGUUCAAUUUUGCAGGAUUGGGAGAUAACAGCUGCUUCAGAAAAGUUGGCUGAGUGCCAAGAGACUAUUCUAAAUCUAGGG
This 583-nucleotide unclassified non-coding RNA is filed under the name Hevea brasiliensis (rubber tree). The record is from RNAcentral. Lineage: Eukaryota; Viridiplantae; Streptophyta; Magnoliopsida; Malpighiales; Euphorbiaceae.